Molecule: long non-coding RNA, 3212 nt
Organism: Capsicum annuum
Lineage: Eukaryota; Viridiplantae; Streptophyta; Magnoliopsida; Solanales; Solanaceae
Exons: 4
Source: RefSeq, a predicted model, not a curated record
CCCCACUCUACUCAUUUAAAAGGGAGUAGGCUUUCUAAAUUCAUUAGCUCAGCUGAUCUUUUCACUUCACCGCCUCCUUCACCAUGCUUAGCUUUCUCAACCUAUGAUUUGUUAUUCUUCAGGUCUGGGUGAUCAAUACCCUUCCUUUGCUUCUUAUUUUAGAUGCUUUCAGCUUGCAUGAGUAACUAUAGCUGAGAUGGAGAUAAUGGGAAGCUCGAACUUGUUAAUAGUUGAAGAGGAAUAAGAAAUUUAGCUUUUGGCAUUCGAUCUGACUUGGUGACCCCUGAUCUACUGAGAUUCCCUUUUUGUUGGUUGGUGUAAAUAGGUUCAGGUGCUCAGUCUCAGCAGCGAAAGUGAUCUUCGAUUACCUCCAUCUAUAUUCAUACAGUUGGUUCAGCUGCUCAGUCUUAGUAGCAACAGUGAUCUUCAAGUACCUCCAUCUACAUUCAUACAAUUGGUGAGUCCUCAUGGUUUGAGGUCCUAUGUUCCUGAUUUUUGUCUUGAUAGUAGAUGGUGGUUUAUUUCCAUUUCAGUACGAGUCUGUUGGGGAUCUUUCCCAAUGGAUCCUCAAUCUUAUAUAGUAGAGGCUUUGUCAGACUAGAGUACCAGUAUGUACAGAACUUUGGUAUUUUGACCGUACAGGAUAGUAUUUCUUCAUAUUUUAGUAUGUUCAUGACAUGAUUAUUCUUCCUUAUUACAGCUUGAUUAUUGUCAUACUGAGUUAUAGAAGUAAUGACAGGCUCAGAGGGUUAGCUUGAGGCUGUGUGUCACCUUAAGCACCUGUGACAUCUUGGGAUGGAAUCUUGGGGCGUUACAUUGACACACCAUGCACUUGGCUACAAAAUCAUCCACGUUCUUUUUCAUACCAUUCCACCAAUAUAUCUCUUUGAUAUUCAUGAUACAUCUUUGUAGAAUCAGGAUGAACAACAUAGUUUAAUUCAUGCACCUCAACCUCCCUUGGUAUCGCAAAAAACAAUCACCAGUGAUUUUGAAUGCCAUUACCUUUUUCCUGCCUAUAUCACUCUUGAUUUUCAUCAAGAUAGGAACUAGAACUUACUUCUCCUUAAUCUCUACACUGAGAGACGAUCUAACCAUUUCCUGUACUAAUAUACCACCUUCCUCAGAGUCCAAUAGACGAACUCUAAGAUUAGGAAAGUGGUGAAUAUCCUUCACUAAUUCUCGUUUCUCCUUAAUGAGCUAAAAUACGUAUGGAUAACCUGCUAAGAGCAUCAGUAAUAACAUUAGCCCUACCUGGAUGAUAGUGAAGACUCAUAUCAUAGUCCUUGAGAAGCUUCAACCAUCUUCUCUGCCUGAGAUUUAGCUCCUUUUGAGGGAACACAUACUUCAGGCUGGUAUGGUCAAAAAGGAUAUCUGUGUGCACUCCAUACAAAUAAUGUUGUCAUAUUUUCAUAGCAAAAACCACUGCCAAUAGCUCCAAAUCAUGAGUAGGAUAAUUCCUCUCAUGCACAUUUAUUUGCCUGGAAGCAUAGGCAAUCCUCUUCCUAUGCUGCAUCAAAACACAACCAAGUCCUACCCUAGAUGCAUCACAAUAAACCAAAAACCCCUCAUUACCUGCAGGAAAUGUCAAAACUAGAGCUGAAGUUAGCUUAUCCAUAAGCUUCUCAAAACUCCCUUCACACCCUCUCGACCAAGAAAAUUUUACUUUCUUCUGAGUUAACUUAGUCUAAGGAGCGGCUAUCAAAGGAAAGGUUUCCAUAAACCGCCUAUAACACCCAGCCCAAGAAGCUUUGAAUGUUAGUUGGAGUCGUGGGUCUAGGCACUACUAGAAAUUACCUCUAUGGCAACAAACUUUUUGGCGACGAUCAACAAAGUGUUGUUAUAGGUGGUCUAUUGCGACAGUUCCAAGUGUUGUCAUAAAUAACUAUUCUAUUAGCUAUAAGUUUACACUAUAACUGUUGCAUUUGAUAAUAAGCAUUGCAAUAGAUAAAUAAAAUAAGCUAUAGCAACGCUUAUUUUAUUCCCUCUAUUUUUUCACUAAAAAAUUUGUAAGUCCUCCUAAAAAACAUAAGACGUCUUCUGUCUCUUUCUUCUUGGAUUUUACUUCCCCCUCUCUCUCUUAGUUUCUCUAUUAGCUUACUGAAGCUUUAAAAAAUUAUUUUAUUAGGAUUAGGGAACCAAUUGAUUAGGGAAUCAACCGAUUGCUACAACAAUCAAUAAAUUAGGGAAUCAGCUUCUCUUCGCUACAAUUGCUAUAACGAUAAUCAAUCGAUUAUGGAAUUGGCUUCUCUUCGCUACAACCACUACAACAACAAUCAAUCAAUUAGGAGAAUCGACUUUUCUUCACUGCAAGUGCUACAGUGACAAUCAACCGAUUAGGAGAUUUGGGUUCUCUUCUCUACAAUUGAUACAAUUACUAUUUGGUAGUGAGCUUCAAUUUAGGCAUUUUAAGGUUAGUAUAUUGUUCUACGUCUUUGACCUAUUUUUUAGGGAUUUUGAGUUUUUCUUCUCCUUUGAGAACAUUUUAUUGCGGGGUUCAUUUGAUUGCGUGAAUAUUGAUAAAAACUGUAGUAAUAAUACAUCCAUGACUUGGUAAAUUUUGAAUACAAUGCAAUAAGCUAACAAUACAAUUCAAUAGGUAAUGGAUGUGGAAAUUAUUUCUUUCAUAUUUUUUGACUUAAUCUUUUCUAUAGUGGCACAAUUUGAAGGAUAUGCAUAUUCAGUAUAUGAUGAUUCUUUAGAUUUCUUCAGUAAUAGUUCUCAAGGUAUAAAAUUUGUAUUUAGGACACAUACACAGGGGACGAAAUAAGAAGAAAGUACUAGUAUUGUAUCCCAGGACCCAAGCUUCGCAGUAAAUUUUAUGAGAAUCUAUGAAGUAUGAACUCCCUUAGGUCUGUCAUUUUGAUCCCAUUACUUGUUUGAGAGGCAAAUUUAGGAUUUAAAUUUUAUGGGUUCAAACUUAUUAUAUUUUUAAAAUUUUGGAUUCGGGCAUACUAGUUGUUGCAGUUUUAGUUGAUUUUUACACAAAAAUUAAUACUCCAUGUCAUAACUACUAGAUUCAGACGAACUCAGUGCUUGCACACUCCAUCAGCCAUUCUGUUCGAACUUAGUAGACCAAAUAGAAUCAGCUUGAGAACCAUAUUUAGUAUGUACAUUGUGUAAGUAUUGCCUAUUGAUAUAUGAUUUGGCUUUUACUAUGGAAGCUUUCAUUUGUGACCCUUUUAUGGUUAGCAGCUCUGUUAGUGAUGGGAACA